GGGCGGCUAGCUCAGCUGGAAGAGCAUCUCGUUUACACCGAGAGGGUCGGCGGUUCGAACCCGUCGCCGCCUACCA
Molecule: transfer RNA, 76 nt
Filed under: Brevundimonas sp.
Lineage: Bacteria; Pseudomonadati; Pseudomonadota; Alphaproteobacteria; Caulobacterales; Caulobacteraceae
Also listed under: 3 other names
Description: tRNA-Val
Rfam family: tRNA
About the family: Transfer RNA (tRNA) molecules are approximately 80 nucleotides in length.
Source: RNAcentral